This 478-nucleotide ribosomal RNA is filed under the name Amphistegina lobifera. Its description in RNAcentral is "SSU rRNA". It matches the Rfam family "Eukaryotic small subunit ribosomal RNA", at positions 1160 to 1623 of the family's 1831-position model. The record is from RNAcentral. Lineage: Eukaryota; Foraminifera; Rotaliida; Amphisteginidae.
UAAGGGCACCACAAGAACGCGUGGAGCAUGUGGCUUAAUUUGACUCAACGCGGGGUAUCUUACUAGGUCCGGACCGAUUCUAUGAUCGUCGUACUGUGGGGUGCUACGUGAUUACUGGAUGAGUGGUGCAUGGCCGUUCUUAGUUCGUGGUGUUAAUUGUCUACUUAAUUGUCAUUCCCGUAUCUCACAUGCGGAACCACAACGAACGAGAUCGAGACCCGUGGUUGCGUGUGUUUGAAUUCGGUAUUACUACGGGGAUCGCGUAUUACUCCACGGUACGAUCGAAAGACUCGGCAAUAACAGGUCUGUGAUGCCCUCAGAUGUUCUAGGCUGCACACGUGCUACAGUGUGGUUCCCCGUACUGUGUGUAUGCGUAGAUAUCUGAUAAGAUCCCCCGCACCGAGUCAUAACUGGUCACACGGUUGGACUCACCGAUUGUCAAUUAUUCAGUAUACUAACUAGGAAUGCCUCGUACGGG